AGUUGGUUAUUAUGUCUCCACUAAUGAGCAGAGAGGUAGUAAAAAUCUUACAAAGUAAGUUUAUGUGGGUCAAGGUAUAGUGAUUUAAUUGGUAGUUCUAGUUCUAUUUUACUUUGAGAAAAAUUAGAGUUGUUUAAAGCAGCCUCUUGGGGCACUGAAUACAUUAGCAUGGGAUAAUAAAAUAGGAUCUUCACAAUAUAUUUUAUUGGUUUAAAUUGGAUAUGAAGAUAAUGAUUAAUAGGGACAGUUGGGGGUAUUCAUAUUGGGUGGUUAGCGGUGAAAUGCUCGGAUCCAUUCAAGAUGAACUAAAGACGAAAGCAUUUACCAAGGAUGUUUUCAUUAAUCAAGAACGAAAGUUAAGGGGAUCGAAGACGAUUAGAUACCGUCGUAGUCUUAACUAUAAACUAUGCCGACCAGGGAUAUGAGUUGUUAGGAUUAUAUGAAAAUAUAAUCAAUUUCUUCUUAUGAACCUUGUGAGAAAUCAUAAGUUUUUUGGGGUUCUGGGGGGGAGUAUGGUCGCAAGGCUGAAACUUAAAGGAAUUGACGG
RNAcentral lists this ribosomal RNA (547 nucleotides) under uncultured eukaryote. RNAcentral describes it as "bacterial SSU rRNA". It matches the Rfam family "Eukaryotic small subunit ribosomal RNA", at positions 632 to 1159 of the family's 1831-position model. The record is from RNAcentral.